This 72-nucleotide transfer RNA is filed under the name Danio rerio (zebrafish). It matches the Rfam family "tRNA". Rfam says of the family: Transfer RNA (tRNA) molecules are approximately 80 nucleotides in length. Their secondary structure includes four short double-helical elements and three loops (D, anti-codon, and T loops). The record is from Rfam by way of RNAcentral. Lineage: Eukaryota; Metazoa; Chordata; Actinopteri; Cypriniformes; Danionidae.
GACGUGAUAGUAUAGUGGUUAGUACUCUGCGUUGUGGCCACAGCAACCCUGGUUCGAAUCCGGGUCACGGCA